RNAcentral lists this ribosomal RNA (398 nucleotides) under uncultured bacterium. RNAcentral describes it as "bacterial SSU rRNA". It matches the Rfam family "Bacterial small subunit ribosomal RNA", at positions 359 to 772 of the family's 1533-position model. The record is from RNAcentral.
UAUAUUGGGCAAUGGGCGAAAGCCUGACCCAGCAACGCCGCGUGAAGGAAGAAGGUCUUCGGAUUGUAAACUUCUUUUAUGAGGGACGAAGGACGUGACGGUACCACAUGAAUACGCCACGGCUAACUCCCUGCCAGCAGCCGCGGUAAUACGUAGGUGGCAAGCGUUAUCCGGAUUUACUGGGUGUAAAGGGCGCGUAGGCGGGGAUGCAAGUCAGAUGUGAAAUCUAUGGGCUUAACCCAUAAACUGCAUUUGAAACUGUGUCUCUUGAGUGCUGGAGAGGUAGACGGAAUUCCUUGUGUAGCGGUGAAAUGCGUAGAUAUAAGGAAGAACACCAGUGGCGAAGGCGGUCUACUGGACAGUAACUGACGCUGAGGCGCGAAAGCAUGGGGAGCAAA